Molecule: long non-coding RNA, 360 nt
Organism: Cynoglossus semilaevis (tongue sole)
Lineage: Eukaryota; Metazoa; Chordata; Actinopteri; Pleuronectiformes; Cynoglossidae
Exons: 2
Source: RefSeq, a predicted model, not a curated record
AUUUUAUUCGUCUAAAUAUCCGAUUAUCAAGACGAUGGAAAAACGUUCUAUUAACUUUCAGCUGCUGAGUCGUGUUCACAACAAACAGAGUUCAGUCCCGUAGUUUAGGUUCGUACUGUCUGACCUCUGUGACCUCUUUAGAAACUUCAUUUCAAAGAGUUGUUAAUGAGCAGCUGAUCAGUUAAAGUUUGCUCGAACCAGCUGCGGACGGAUCUGUGUGCUCCACCACCUGGUGGUGUUGAAGUGUAGCAUCGAACAGGACGAUGUCCGAGAGUCGAGAAAUAACGCAGAAAACACAGAAUAAAAAAAGGUCCCAGAGACUUCAACUGGAGCCUGGGAAAAAAAACCGAAAAAAAAAAA